RNAcentral lists this transfer RNA (73 nucleotides) under Alloscardovia omnicolens F0580. It matches the Rfam family "tRNA". From Rfam's summary of the family: Transfer RNA (tRNA) molecules are approximately 80 nucleotides in length. Their secondary structure includes four short double-helical elements and three loops (D, anti-codon, and T loops). Further hydrogen bonds mediate the characteristic L-shaped molecular structure. tRNAs have two regions of fundamental functional importance: the anti-codon, which is responsible for specific mRNA codon recognition, and the 3' end, to which the tRNAs corresponding amino acid is attached (by aminoacyl-tRNA synthetases). tRNAs cope with the degeneracy of the genetic code in two manners: having more than one tRNA (with a specific anti-codon) for a particular amino acid; and 'wobble' base-pairing, i.e. permitting non-standard base-pairing at the 3rd anti-codon position. Lineage: Bacteria; Bacillati; Actinomycetota; Actinomycetes; Bifidobacteriales; Bifidobacteriaceae. The record is from Rfam by way of RNAcentral.
GGGGGUAUGGCGCAGCUGGUAGCGCAUCUGCUUUGCGAGCAGAGGGUCAGGGGUUCGAGUCCCCUUACCUCCA